GAUGAACGCUGGCGGCGUGCCUAAUACAUGCAAGUCGAGCGAACAGACGAGGAGCUUGCUCCUCUGACGUUAGCGGCGGACGGGUGAGUAACACGUGGAUAACCUACCUAUAAGACUGGGAUAACUUCGGGAAACCGGAGCUAAUACCGGAUAAUAUAUUGAACCGCAUGGUUCAAUAGUGAAAGACGGUUUUGCUGUCACUUAUAGAUGGAUCCGCGCCGCAUUAGCUAGUUGGUAAGGUAACGGCUUACCAGGGCAACGAUGCGUAGCCGACCUGAGAGGGUGAUCGGCCACACUGGAACUGAGACACGGUCCAGACUCCUACGGGAGGCAGCAGUAGGGAAUCUUCCGCAAUGGGCGAAAGCCUGACGGAGCAACGCCGCGUGAGUGAUGAAGGUCUUCGGAUCGUAAAACGCUGUUAUUAGGGAAGAACAAAUGUGUAAGUAACUAUGCACGUCUUGACGGUACCUAAUCAGAAAGCCACGGCUAACUACGU
Molecule: ribosomal RNA, 496 nt
Filed under: uncultured bacterium
Lineage: Bacteria
Description: partial 16S ribosomal RNA
Rfam family: Bacterial small subunit ribosomal RNA
Source: RNAcentral